Oncorhynchus kisutch (coho salmon) is the source of this 8380-nucleotide long non-coding RNA. RefSeq lists it as uncharacterized. The transcript has 5 exons. Lineage: Eukaryota; Metazoa; Chordata; Actinopteri; Salmoniformes; Salmonidae. The record is from RefSeq and is a predicted model, not a curated record.
GGCAUAUCAUUGGAAGAUUGGCCAUAAGAGACUACAUUUACCACGGGUCCGCCCAGUGUCCUUUGUGUAAAUUCGUGCGUAAUCUUCAGCCACAGACAUUUUCUCCUGGGAUUCAGAGGGGAUAGCAGACUUCCACGAAUGAUAUAUCAUCGAAGAGAUAUGUGAAAAACACCUUGAGGAUUGGUCCUAAACAACGUUUGCCAUGUUUCAGUCGAUAUUAUGGAGGUAAUUUGGAAAAAAGUUUGACGUUUUGAAGACUGAAUUUUCGUUUUUUUUUGGUAGCCAAACGUGACGCACCAAACGGAGCAAUUUCUCCUAAACAAAUCAUCUUUCAGGAAAAACGGAGCAUUUGCUAUCUAACUGAUAGUCUCCUCAUUGAAAACAUCUGAAGUUCUUCAAAGGUGAAUUGUCUUCCAUGGUGAUAAGAUGACAGGGAAACUACACCUCCUCCUGGUCUUGCUGGGCCUCUGUAGUGAAUGGUCAGAGUCUGGAGGCCAUUCCCUCCAGUCGUCCUGAAAAAGCCUUCAGAACCUCUCAGCCUCUCAGCCUCUCCUGUAAGGGACCUUUAGUAGCUACAACAUGGCAUGGAUAUGUCAACCUGCAGGAAGAGCACUUGAAUGGACAGGCAUUAUAUGGAGUGAUGCUAGUGGAACUGCAUACGCAAAAAGUGUUGAAGGACGGGUAGAAGUCACCAGAGAGAAUUUUAACAGCAUGGUGUAUCUGAAGCUGUCUGGUCUGAGAGAAGAGGACUCUGCUGUGUAUUACUGUGCAAGAGACACAGUGGUGUGAGUGGAGGAUCUGCACAAAAAUCCCUCAGAGAUUCUAACUGGCAGCAGAGUCAACAGAGGGCAGUAGAGCAUCAGUACAACAGAGUCAACAGAGGGCAGUAGAGCAUCAGUACAACAGAGUCAACAGAGGGCAGUAGAGCAUCAGUACAACAGAGUCAACAGAGGGCAGUAGAGCAUCAGUACAGCAGACUACAAACUGCACACAUUCCACUGAGAACCAAAUCAACCAGUAAACCUUCAACUGAACUGCUGUUAACAUGAGCAUUGUCCUAUAGGCAAGAGUAGAUAGUUAGAAACAUUGAUGAAAGUGUCACUCCACAAUACAUACUGGUACAUUAAUUGACAAUACAAAAUACAGAACCACAUUGUGGACCACUCAGAGUUCUGAGACACUGUAGGCAAUCAUAUGCAAACAUAGUUCAGUAUGUCAUUUGGUAUCAGCUAUAAUACGUUAUAGAAUGGGUUGUUCGGAUUCUGGAUGCUGAUUGGACAAGCAGCAUUCCAGGCCGUGCUGUAUUGGCCGUUACAGACAUGCCAAUGCCUGCUGACAGUUCCAUCUGAAAAUUAUCACUGCAUCUCCAUAAGAAUGUUAUGCUGUCUGAAUCAUCUCUUGUAUUUAUUUCAACUCACACUUUAUUUCCCCUUGCUUCAAGCCUUGCAUUUAGUUUGGAACAGCGGUGGUUAAAAUAAGCCUAGCUGGAAGAUUUGUUUCACUUUUGAAAUUUAAAUUCCCUGGUAGAGAGAAAGGUCACGUCCCCCUUUCUGACGUUGCACGCAUCAAACAAUGGUUGCGUGCCACGUCAUCGACUAUGUCAUCGACUGACAGAUUUCCAUAGAGAUCAGGAUGGGGGCGGCAGGGUAGCCUAGUGGUUAGAGCGUUGGACUGCCCCUGAACAGGCAGUUAACCCACUGUUCCUAGACCAUCAUUGAAAAUAAGAAUUUGUUCUUAACUGACUUGCAUAGUUAAAUAAAGGUUAAAAAAAGACUCAUUCCUAAUUCUAUGCAGAUUGCUGUAACAUACAAUGUGGUCGUGAAGAAUCAAGAGCAUCCUGUCGGGCUGUAUCACCGCCUGUUACAGCAACUUGACCAGCACCUACUGUACAGCUUGGACUGGACAGUCUACAGGAAAAACACUGGAGAGGAUUGACGUCAUUUGUUAUGAUGAAGCACAACUUAUAAAGAUUAACUGAAACACAAGUUCAGCAUCACCAGAGUCACUUCCAGCAACAGACUGUUUCUAACAGGACAGAGUCUGCAGACUUAAUCUCUCUGCGCACGGAACCCACUAGCGGGCUGAAAUUCCACAACAUACGGUGAUCGCUACAUAAAUAGUCAUAUUAAACAUUCAUGAAAAUACAAGUGUCUCACAUGUAUCGAAAGCCUAGAAUCUUGCUAAUCCAACUGCGUUGUCAGAUUUAAAAAAGGAUUUACUGCGAAAGAAUACGAUGCGAUUAUCUGAGCAAAAAGCCCCAUAAAAAACAACAAUUUUAACCAGCACAGGCGUAACAUGUUCACAAACUGCAUUAAGAGACUGUGUGUUAUUGUGCUGGAUGACUACAAUGAUACUAACCAAGACAUGGACCUGUUCUAAAACUGAAAACCCAUGAGCAUCAAGCACAAGUGCAACAUAUGGCCACCAGUGAUUCUAUAGAAGAAAACAAUAUAAAUCGAAAAACUGCUCUAUGACAUAACACUUAUUGUUGAUACACUGGCACAAUAAGUAUUAUAACAUGUACACCUUGAUUCUUCACAAAAACAUUUCUCAACAGUGCCAAGAUACAGUAUGUAGGAUUUAGACCCCUAGAGCAAUGGGGAGAAACAGUUAACACCAUAGAGAUGCAAAUGUGUUUCGAUUCACAUAGACCCAAGGUCUCCUCCCAUUUCAAUAGUCUGAUAUAACUGCCCUCCACAGAUCUCCCUCAGUCACGACGGCCACUCCCAGUCUCUUCCCUUGCUUCUAGAAUCGUAGAACCUUUCCACAAUGACACUUUUAGAAUGUGUGUUCCUCCUGACUCUCAUCUCAGCUGUUCAGGGGCAGUCACUCACCUCCUCUGAGCCAGUGGUGAAGAAACCUAGAGAGUCAGUAACACUGUCCUGUGCUGUCUCUGGCCUUUCUCUAAGCUAUCUGCAUUGGAUCCGUCAGAAACCAGGGAAAGGACUUGAGUGGAUUGGGCGCAUUGACAGUGGCACUGGCACUGUAUUUUCCCAGUCUCUCCAGGGCCAGUUCACCAUCACCAAAGACGGCUCAAAAAACCAGCUGUACUUAGAGGUGAAAAGCCUGAAGACUGAAGACUCUGCUGUUUAUUAUUGUGCCAGACACACAGUGACACAGGAAGCUGAAGCGCCAUACAAAAACUGAUCAACAGUGAUCCCAGGAUGAGAGGCAAUGAAGCGCGUCUGUUCUUAAAACACACACUUAACACUACACAAAAGUUGCUGAAAUUAUUAUAGAUCCUUGAACUCCACAAUAGAUUCCCAAGAGGGGAUGUGCAGUAAGAGAUACAUAUAAUUCAAUACAACUUGUAUUGUCCCACAUAGGGAAAUGCGCUUGUUUCUGUGCUGUUUAGCAUUGUAUAAAAUCAAACGUAUCUAGUCUGAACAUCCCAUAUGUAAAAUCUCUGGCUUUCACAGUCUAGGCAACUUGGACUGACAUUACAGCAAGCCCUGCACUAACCUGACUAUCACCGAACAAAGUUUAGUACUCUCCAAUAAGUGUUCAGGGUCAGACACUGACUGAGUCUCAAUCAGUGGUUAAAAAGUCUGAAGAAUCCCACAAACUGACUUGCACAUAUGCUGGGUUUAGAAGCAGCUAUUGGAAUGCUUGGAUCAGACAGGCGCCUGGGAAAGGUUGCUACCAUUAUUGGUACUGGCAGUUACAUCUACUACUCCCCGUCUUUUCAGGGUCGGUUCACCAUCUACAGAUUAACAGUCUGAAGACUGAAGACUCUGCUGUGUAUUAUUGUUGCAGAGACACAGUGACACAGGAGUCUGCAGCACUGUAUAAAAACGGAUCCAGCACUUCUCUUACUGUGAGAGUAUGUGAAACAAUUCUGAGCUCUAGUCUCUGUCAACAUCAAUCCCACGGCCCCACCAACACUAUAGGAGGGAGUAUGCACAUCGUACUCUAAAUUAUAACAAUAAUAUACAUGAUUACUUGAAAAAAUGAAAUAUACCUGACAACUUGUCAAGAUAACUGUAUGAAUAUCAUUAUAAACCUUUAACUGAGAACUUUAAAGCCAUUUCAAGUCAGUUGACAAUAGUAAAUAACUAACAUUACUAUUACAUUACUAUUCGGUUAUGUUUUUCAAUUUGGUGAUCUUAUUUAAAUGAAACCAGAUUUCAAAUUUCAUUAAACAAUUAAUGCAAUAUUAAAUACAUGUACCACGAAGGUCAUUAAUGUUAAACAGUAAUGGAACAAAUAUAGAUCUUUGGGUGAACCUAAUAGAUUGUCAUCCUGUGCUGUUCUGAGAAACAAUGUUGACAUUAUCAACUCUUCAUUUCAGUCUCUAUUUAAACCUCUGGUGGGAGGUCUAUGCAAAGUCAAUCCUUUCAUCCCAUUAUAAUCAGACAGUCAGCUCUGGCCUUCCCAUUAUAGGUCGCCUGGCUGACAUUACAGUGAGCCCUGCACUAACUAUCACUAAACAAUGAAGCUUACGAAAAAGCCCUGGAGUGGAAUGGGAGAAUGAAUAAAAGGCCAGUUCAGUCUGACUGAGGACGUCUUCACAAGCACACAGUUAUUGUAGGCCAAGAGGACUCUGCUGUUUAUUAUUGUGCUCGCCAGUGGCGGGUUUAGGUAUAGGCGACAUGGGCAGCCGCCCAGGGCAGCAUCUUGCUGGGGGCGGCACGGGGUGCCCGCACACUAAAAAAAAUGUUUUAUUACAUUUUGAAUGGUGACAUUUGCGUGAUCGGUUCUCUAUCACUCAGUUGCUCAUCAUGUCAUUGAUAUCAUGUCAGCAUGUGGGUCAAUUAACCUUGCCGGGGUGGGUGCCCUGAUAGUUUGUGAGCUAGGCAGGCUACUGCCUGGGAAGGGCUCCCACUCAGAAGUACGAGAUGGGGAGGGGGGCAGGGUUAGGUUGACCUCAGGUCUCCCCACUGGAAGCCUGAGGUAGGGGGAACGGGGGAAUCUAUCAAAUAGCGCACCUCUAACUUUGUACAGGACUAAUGCAAUUAGCGUUGGACUAGUAACCGGAAGGUUGCAAGUUCAAACCCCCGUGCUGACAAGGUACAAAUCUGUCGUUCUGCCCCUGAACAGGCAGUUAACCCACUGUUUCUAGGCUGUCAUUGAAAAUAAGAAUUUGUUCUUAACUGACUUGCCUGGUUAAAUAAAGUUAAGUGCAUUAGUGUAAUAAUCAGGUUCUAUUCUUUAUAAGUGUGUUAUUUUGUGUAUUUGUGUGAUAUAUGAUUUGUGCAAUUUAGUUUAAUUUGUGUGUUUUUUGUUAGCAAUAGGGUAAUAGUGUAAUAAUUCGAUUUUUUUACAUUGGUAUUUAUUUAUUAGAAUUUGUUUCUAUUUGUCUUUGUUAAUUCUUUUCGAUAGUUAUGAGUCUUUUUUGUAUAUAUUUUUAGAUUCACAUAGUUUUAAAUGACCAUUUAUUUGUGUUGUUCCAAAUGUCUGAAUAAAAAUUACAGUUAAGGUAGGUGAACACCCCGCUGAAGGGGGGAUUCAACCAGGGAGCCAUACAAGCUAGAACAUCCACUGCUCGACAGAAACACUGACUGAAGCUGGUGAACCAGCUGUACAACAUGGAUAGGUGGGGUACUACUACCUCUCUUUGUGUCACACUAGAAUAAUACUGAGUAUCAGUAGUGUAAAUAAUAAAACAACAAUAUCACAAAGCACUACACUACAAGAGUCCAAACACUAACAUUCAAACUACCUCUUGCCUAGACUGGUCAAGCUUUCUUGAUGUCACAUGAACAAGUAAUUAACUUAUUUGGGACAGGGGGGCAGUAUUGAGCAGCUCGGAUAGCUACUCAGUAGCUGGUGCCCAGAGUAAACUAAAUGCUACUCUGUCCUAAAAGCUAGAAUAUGCAUAUAAUUAGUAGAUUUUGAUAGGAAACACUCUGAAGUUUCUAAAACUGUUUGAAUGAUGUCUGUGAGUAUAGCAGAGCUCAUAUGGCAGGCAAAAACCUGAGAAAAAAUCCAACCAGGAAGUGGGAAAUCUGAGGUUUGUAGUUUUUCAACUCAGCCCGUAUUGAAUAUAUAGUGGGAUAUGGGUCAUCUUGCACUUCCUAAGGCUUCCACUAGAUGUCAACAGUCUUUAGAACGUUGUUUCAGGCUUCUACUGUGAAGGGGGGCUGAAUGAGAGGGAAAUGAGUCAGAGGUAUAUCAGCAGCCACAGGCUCACGAUGCGCGGUCAUGAGAAAGUUACCUCUCGUUCCAUUGCUUUUCUACAGACAAAUGAAUUCUCCUGUUGGGACAUUAUUGAACAUUCAUGAUAAAAACAUCCUAAAGAUUGAUUCUAUACAUCGUUUGAUAUGUUUCUACGACUAGUAAUAUAACCUUUUGGAAUUUUCGUCUGACAUUUCCGCUGGACUUGCCCCGCCUCAUGAGUUUCGAUUUGUUUACUAAACACCCUAACAAAAGGAGGAAUUUGGACAUAAAUUAUGGACAUUAUGGAAACAAUCAAACAUUUAUUGUGGAACUGGGAUUCCUGGGAGUGCAUUCUGACAAAGAUCAUCAAAGGUAAGUGAAUAUUUAUAAUGCUAUUUCUGACUUAUGUUGACUCCAACAUGGCGGAUAUCUUCUUGGGUUGUGUAUGUCUCUGAGCGCCUUACUCAGAUUAUUGCAUGGCAUUAUUGCAUGGUUCUCCGUAAUGUUUUUUUGAAAUCUGACACAUUAAGACAAAAAUAAAUUCCACAAUUAACUUUUAACAAGGCACACCUGUUAAUUGAAAUUCAUUCCAGGUGUCUACCUCAUGCAGCUGGUUGAGAGAAUGCCAAAAGUGUACGAAGCUGUCAUCAAGGCGAAGGGUGGUUACUUUGAAGAAUCUCAAUAAUAAAAUAUAUUUUGAUAUGUUUAACACUUUUUUUGGUUACUACAUGAUUUUUGGGUUAUUCCCUGUUUUAUUUCAUAGUUUUGAUGUAGAAAAUUUUACAAAUAAAUAAAGCCAAACCCUUGAAAUAGUAAGUGUGUCCAAAAUUUUAACUGGUACUGCAUAUGUAAUUAUUAAUCGUAUAUAAUUGAAUAUGCCAAUUAUUGGUGUCACUCAAGGAUCUACACUGAACAAAUAUAUAAAUGCACCAUGUAAAGUGUUGGUCCCAUGUUUCAUGAGCUGAAAUAAAAGAUCCCAUAAAAUCAAUGUUCCAUAAGUACAAAAAAGCUUAUUUUUGUGAACAAAUUUUAGUGAGCAUUUCUCUAUUUUUUUUACCUUUAUAUUACUAUGCGAGUCAGAUAAGAACAAAUUCUCAUUUUCAAUGACGGCCUAGUUCAGAACAACAGAUUUGUACCUUGUCAGCUCUGGGAUUCGAUCUUGCAACGCUCUAACCACUAGGCUACCACCUGACAAGUGAUGUGUGGCAUAUCAAGAAGCCUAUUAACCCAUUACAGUCUAAGUGCUGGCUGGGGGAUGGGUGGGGGGUUGUACUAUAGUUUGCCAUCAGAUAUUAUAUAUUUAAUUUUGAUUCACAUGAUUACUUUUAUGACUUUUUCUUCAUAUUUUUGAUCCAUAAUUGGCAGGUACGUGCUUUUGUAUGUUUUCAUGGUUUAUCAUUUUAGAUUUAAUUGAAAAUCUGAUCUGUCUAUGAGAGUAUUUCAUGUGUCGACCAGUGUGUGUAGUUGAUGCAAAUUGUGUUGCAUCGAGUCUUUUAGAAACUUUCAUACUAAGAUCAAUGUUAAAAUCAGUUUUUGUACAGCACUGCAGCCUCCUGUGUCACUGUGGCUGUCGUGCACCAUCUGAGUGUCUGAUUAUGAAGGGAUAAAUGAGAGGGAGACUUUGCAUAGACCACCCUCUAGAGAAAUAAAUAUCCUGACAGGGAGAGAUCUGCUCUAUUCCUUUAUUCUCUCUCCUCCCUGUCCUGUGUUGUUCUCUCUGUGGUUCAGAUUCUACUUAUGAGACGUGUUGACUAUGAUGGCUUUAGUAGGAUGUGUUGACUAUAUAUGAUGGCUUUAUGUAUGAUGUGUUGACUAUAUAUAAUGGCUUUAUGUAUGAUGUGUUGACUAUAUAUAAUGGCUUUAGUAUUGUGUGUUGACUAUAUAUAAUGGCUUUAGUAUGAUGUGUUGACUAUAUAUAAUGGCUUUAUGUAUGAUGUGUUGACUAUAUAUAAUGGCUUUAGUAUGAUGUGUUGACUAUAUAUAAUGGCUUUACUAUGAUGUUUUGACUAUAAGGGCUUUAGUAUGAUGUGUUGACUACAUAUAAUGGCUUUACUAUGAUGUGUUGAAUAUAAUGGCUUUAGUAUGAUGUGUUGACUAUAAUGGCUUUAGUAUGAUGUGUUGACUACAUAUAAUGGCUUUAGUAUUGUGUGUUGAAGAUCAGCAACACGGGGACAAAAGUUCACAAUUUUUACUUGGAGUUUAAAUGUCUGAAAAUCAUUUAAUGAUGUAUGGUUUUGACGUGUUUGGUAAGGUUAACUUAUUAAAAUAUAAUUUGACAUUU